RNAcentral lists this ribosomal RNA (484 nucleotides) under uncultured bacterium. RNAcentral describes it as "partial 16S ribosomal RNA". It matches the Rfam family "Bacterial small subunit ribosomal RNA", at positions 30 to 507 of the family's 1533-position model. The record is from RNAcentral.
AUUGAACGCUGGCGGCAGGCCUAACACAUGCAAGUCGAGCGGAUGAAGGGAGCUUGCUCCUGGAUUCAGCGGCGGACGGGUGAGUAAUGCCUAGGAAUCUGCCUGGUAGUGGGGGAUAACGUCCGGAAACGGGCGCUAAUACCGCAUACGUCCUGAGGGAGAAAGUAGGGGAUCUUCGGACCUCACGCUAUCAGAUGAGCCUAGGUCGGAUUAGCUAGUUGGUGGGGUAAAGGCCUACCAAGGCGACGAUCCGUAACUGGUCUGAGAGGAUGAUCAGUCACACUGGAACGGAGACACGGUCCAGACUCCUACGGGGGGCAGCAGUGGGGAAUAUUGGACAAUGGGCGAAAGCCUGAUCCAGCCAUGCCGCGUGUGUGAAGAAGGUCUUCGGAUUGUAAAGCACUUUAAGUUGGGAGGAAGGGCAGUAAGUUAAUACCUUGCUGUUUUGACGUUACCAACAGAAUAAGCACCGGCUAACUUCGUG